RNAcentral lists this ribosomal RNA (505 nucleotides) under uncultured bacterium. Its description in RNAcentral is "bacterial SSU rRNA". It matches the Rfam family "Bacterial small subunit ribosomal RNA", at positions 8 to 507 of the family's 1533-position model. The record is from RNAcentral.
AGAGUUUGAUCCUGGCUCAGAUUGAACGCUGGCGGAAUGCUUUACACAUGCAAGUCGGGCGGCAGCGCGGGGGCAACCCUGGCGGCGAGCGGCGAACGGGUGAGUAACACAUCGGAACGUACCCUGUCGUGGGGGGAUAACGAAUCGAAAGAUUCGCUAAUACCGCAUACGACCUGAGGGUGAAAGCGGGGGAUCGCAAGACCUCGCGCGAGAGGAGCGGCCGAUGGCGGAUUAGCUAGUUGGUGGGGUAAAGGCCCACCAAGGCUACGAUCUGUAGCGGGUCUGAGAGGAUGAUCCGCCACACUGGAACUGAGACACGGUCCAGACUCCUACGGGAGGCAGCAGUGGGGAAUUUUGGACAAUGGGGGCAACCCUGAUCCAGCCAUGCCGCGUGAGUGAAGAAGGCCUUCGGGUUGUAAAGCUCUUUCGGCCGGGAAGAAAUCGCAUAGGCUAAUACCCUGUGUGGAUGACGGUACCGGAAUAAGAAGCACCGGCUAACUACGUG